UUUUCCCACUAUUAACUAAUAACUAUCCUUCUUUUUGCAUGUAAGUUGAGCAUAUUCAACUAGGGCAAAGCAUCAGACACGAAUGAAUCAAUUUGUUUGGUGAAAUUAAGAAAGUUUGUUUCUACAAUAUAGUUUCUAAAAGAUUAUGAGUCAUGUUCAUGUCAAGAGGUUUGUAAAGUGGAAAGCAUUGAAAUUGGAAGAGAAAGAUUUUAUUUAUUUUUUAAUAAUCG
RNAcentral lists this long non-coding RNA (230 nucleotides) under Trifolium pratense (red clover). Its description in RNAcentral is "long non-coding RNA (TPRA_LNC009823)". Lineage: Eukaryota; Viridiplantae; Streptophyta; Magnoliopsida; Fabales; Fabaceae. The record is from RNAcentral.